This is a regulatory RNA element of Corynebacterium sp. KPL1821, 133 nucleotides long. It matches the Rfam family "TPP riboswitch aptamer (THI element)". Rfam says of the family: Vitamin B(1) in its active form thiamin pyrophosphate (TPP) is an essential coenzyme that is synthesised by coupling of pyrimidine and thiazole moieties in bacteria. NCBI's taxonomy places the organism in Bacteria, Bacillati, Actinomycetota, Actinomycetes, Mycobacteriales, Corynebacteriaceae. The record is from Rfam.
UGCACACUUCACGGGUGCUUACGCGCUGCUCGGUUUUGCAGCUGUGUCGGGCUGAGAUGCCACAGAAGUUGUGGCGAACCGUAGAACCUGAUCCGGGUAAUGCCGGCGAGAGGGAGGAAAUUAUGACAACUAA